GUUGUCGUCAGCUCGUGUCGUGAGAUGUUGGGUUAAGUCCCGCAACGAGCGCAACCCUUGAUUUUAGUUGCCAGCAUUUAGUUGGGCACUCUAAAGUGACUGCCGGUGCAAGCCGGAGGAAGGUGGGGAUGACGUCAAAUCAUCAUGCCCCUUAUGACCUGGGCUACACACGUGCUACAAUGGAUAGUACAAAGGGUCGCGAAGCCGCGAGGUGGAGCUAAUCCCAUAAAACUAUUCUCAGUUCGGAUUGUAGGCUGCAACUCGCCUACAUGAAGCCGGAAUCGCUAGUAAUCGUGGAUCAGCAUGCCACGGUGAAUACGUUCCCGGGCCUUGUACACACCGCCCGUCACACCACGAGAGUUUGUAACACCCGAAGUCGGUAGGGUAACCUUUAUGGAGCCAGCCGCCGAAGGUGGGACAGAUAAUUGGGGUGAAGUCGUAACAAGGUAGCCGUAUCGGAAGGUGCGGCUGGAUCACCUCCUUUCUAAGGAA
Molecule: ribosomal RNA, 492 nt
Filed under: Listeria monocytogenes
Lineage: Bacteria; Bacillati; Bacillota; Bacilli; Caryophanales; Listeriaceae
Description: bacterial SSU rRNA
Rfam family: Bacterial small subunit ribosomal RNA
Source: RNAcentral